AUUGAACGCUGGCGGCAUGCCUUACACAUGCAAGUCGAACGGCAGCACGGGAGCAAUCCUGGUGGCGAGUGGCGAACGGGUGAGUAAAGUAUCGGAACGUGCCCAGUCGUGGGGGAUAACGUAGCGAAAGUUACGCUAAUACCGCAUACGAUCUAUGGAUGAAAGCGGGGGAUCGCAAGACCUCGCGCGAUUGGAGCGGCCGAUAUCAGAUUAGGUAGUUGGUGGGGUAAAGGCUCACCAAGCCGACGAUCUGUAGCUGGUCUGAGAGGACGACCAGCCAAACUGGGACUGAGAAACGGCCCAGACUCCUACGGGAGGCAGCAGUGGGGAAUUUUGGACAAUGGGCGAAAGCCUGAUCCAGCCAUGCCGCGUGCAGGAUGAAGGCCUUCGGGUUGUAAACUGCUUUUGUACGGAACGAAAAGGUUUGGCCUAAUAAGCUGAGCUCAUGACGGUACCGUAAGAAUAAGCACCGGCUAACUACGUGCCAGCCGCCCCGUAA
This 499-nucleotide ribosomal RNA is filed under the name uncultured bacterium. RNAcentral's name for it is "partial 16S ribosomal RNA". It matches the Rfam family "Bacterial small subunit ribosomal RNA", at positions 30 to 523 of the family's 1533-position model. The record is from RNAcentral.